AUGUUGCCAUUUUACGGACUAAAACUCAACAAGGCGGUUAAAAAGAAAUAUGCAGGUAUUGUGGAAACAAGCGAAGGGUGUGCUCUAAGAGAUGGAGCACUGUCUUCCUAUUUCCAGUCUAAUGAUCUUCCAUCUCCAGUGUGGUUACCUUUCAUCAGUGUGCUUUCUGAAACUGACUCAGUCUGGCUCACACAUUAAGGACAGUUAUUGUCUCACAUGACUGAAAAAUCCAGAAGUGGGACAGACUUCAGAUCUGUUUGAUACAUUAGUUCAGCAAUUUCAUUGAAGAUCAGGUUUUUUCCUAAAAUAAGGACAACUUUUCCAUAAGUCUCCCACCAUACUUCUCUUUGAUUUUAAUUGGGCCCAUGUGUAUCCUAACUACUAGCAGGGCAAAUGGAAUGAUCACAAUAAACAUGUUCUGAUCGUUUCCAGUGAGGUAGAGUGGAUGUUGGGCAAUUAAAGUGGCCACUGUCCUCAUUCUCUGCCAAGUUUAAGAUGUUAAAUUCCCUAGGAUUGUGUUGUAGAAUCUCUUCCGUUCUCGCAGAAUCCUCUCUCUAACUCGAUCCACUCUCAUAGGCUUAACUACCCUAUGUCUGGUGAUAGUUCCCAAAUCAGUAUAUUCAAUCCAAACCCUUUUAGAAUCUCAUAUAUAUGCAUUCAAUUUCUUGCUAGAAAGCUCAAUUUAGAACUGCUAACAAAAUUCCAAAUUCAAGAUAAUCCAAAUUUGGGCUUUUUGUCUUGACCUAAAAUUCCCAAGUCCUCUAUUCCCAACAUGGCAAGUCCUUUAAACUAAAACCCCAGGCAUCACUUCGAGCCUCU
Molecule: long non-coding RNA, 819 nt
Filed under: Capra hircus (goat)
Lineage: Eukaryota; Metazoa; Chordata; Mammalia; Artiodactyla; Bovidae
Description: lncRNA (ENSCHIG00010015165.1)
Source: RNAcentral